GUGUGGAGAUGAUGAACAUCAGAGGCUGUUUCUGAGGAUGAGCCCAAAGCUUGUCCUGUGCUGCAAAGUAACUGAUUUGCCUAUCUGAUCCAAAG
Small nucleolar RNA from Lolium perenne, 95 nucleotides. RefSeq annotates it as small nucleolar RNA Z119. The record is from RefSeq and is a predicted model, not a curated record. NCBI's taxonomy places the organism in Eukaryota, Viridiplantae, Streptophyta, Magnoliopsida, Poales, Poaceae.